UUAUAAUCCAACUCUGUGUUCUGUGAGUCUAUAGGUGGUGUCAUGUGUAUUAAGGAUACUGAUAAAUACAACUAAAUUAUAAAUAACAUAAUUUUUUAUUAUUCUUGUAAUAUUUUUAUUUGACAAAAUGAUACUAUACCCAAAUAAACGAUUCUAUAACAAAAAAAAUUAAUGGUUGUUAUUAAAAUAAUUUACUAAUUUGAAGUGAUGACAUUGAAGAAGAUCACCAAAAUGACAACAAAAUUACAAAUAUCCUCAGAAUUAAACGACAGCAUCAGUAAUGUUUUAGGGAAAAAUGUGAAAAUACUUUAUAAAUCUUUGAUUCGCAUGGAAUCUCGAGGAGACAAAGUUGAUAACAGAGUUUUGGUGGUCACAUCAUAUAGAGUUUUUAUAACUACAACAAAAGUUCCAACUAGAAUUGACAAUGGAUUUCACUUGAUGGAAAUAGAGGCCUUGGAGAGCAAAAAGGCAAAUCACUUAUCAAUAACGCUUAUUCAUGAGCAUAAGCCUGUAUCUAUUCUUAUUGGUGAGGAAGGCUCGCCCGAUGGUGUUAUAAAUGCAAUACACGCACUCACGGCGGCGUUUGACGACUUAUUUCCAAAUGUGGCAAUGGAAGACAUUAUAUCCAAGGUUAAUUUGCCAUUUCCGUUGCAACCGGUGAGUGGUACUCGGAAACAUUCGACUUGUGGUGACUUUUCUAAUCAAUAUGCAGCCAUGUGUGACCUAUGCCAGACACCUUUUAGAGCCGAAGUCGCAUGGGAUAUAGAUACGAUAUAUUUGGCACACGACAUACGAUUGUUACAUCUGAAAGAUUUCGAUCAUUUGGAUCAAAGAGAUUUAAUACCACUACUAAUAGCGUUGCAACACAACACAUGGUUUACUGGUGUGUGUGGGGAUGGUGUAAGGGUGGGGAGCGAGACGUGGGAGGCCUUAUCCCGUGUCCUGAGAUGUGCAGCGCCCCCACCACAGCAGCUUAGCUGGAGGGGCGCCACGCUAAGGCACGAUCAUGCAGCACGGCUGGGACACGCCCUAGCGAGAGCUAAGACGCCCCCCGCUAUGCAUACGAUUGACCUGUCGCAGAAUCAUAUAGAAGAUAAAGGUGCAAUAAGUGUUUUAACAGGACUAGCGAACAAUCCAGAUGGGAUACGUCACAUAGCAUUAUCCCAAUGCGGUGUCACGGGCAAGAGCGUUGCCCAUCUUGCUCAACUGCUCAAUGACAACCCUUGCCAUCUUAAUACGCUGUCGCAUCUUGAUCUCUCCCAUAACAACCUUAAGGAUGAUGUGCAUCAUCUCUACAACUUCUUGGCUCAACCAAACGUAUUGACACAUUUGAACUUAGUCAAUACGGAAACCACUCUAGAAAAUAUGUGGGGUGCUCUAUUGCGCGGUUGCGCGGCGAGGCUUUCAUCCUUGUACGUAGGGCGAAAUCCCUGGGCGGCGGGGCGAAGGCCCAGAGACCCGCCGCCUUCCUUUAGACAAUUCUUCACCGCUUGUCUCGCUUUGACGGAUCUCGACUUUUCAUAUUGCAAAAUGCCUCCCGAUGCUUUGAAGAGCCUCUUAUUAGGCCUCGCAUGCAACGAAAGCGCAGCGGGCGUAAAACUAAAUGUGUCUGGCGCACUCGCGUCGUCACAAGCCGCGCACGUACUUGAGUCGUGUAUACACGGCGUACGGUGUCUUCGUUCGCUUGACCUGUCUGAUAAUAGUAUGGAGUUUGAACUAUCAGGCAUAGUGAGAGCUAUUGGCAAAAAUCAUUCCAUAACACAUUUAUCAUUAAGUAAGCUUACGGGAAAACGGUCUUACGCGCCACCUCUAAUACAGGCUUUAGUACACGUUCUACAGGAACCGGACACAGCUUUAACAUCCUUAGAUCUCAGUGAUUGUAAACUUAAGGGGGAUUUGUAUGGACUUCUGAAUGCUUUGGGUGGGGCCAGACGACUUCGUACGUUAGACGUUUGUGGGAACUUAGCUGGCGACGCGGGAGCUAGGCUAUUGGCCAAAGCUCUGCAGUGCAAUUGUACGCUCCACACGCUGUAUAUAGAUAGAAACGCGUUUAGUUUACAGGGAUUAACGGAUAUAGCAACAGCGUUACGUCGUUCUGUGAGCGUUCGUCGCGUUGAGUUUCCCGCGAGUGACGCAGCGGCCGGCGGACGUGGCGCUAGUGAGCGCGUCGCCGCUUUAUGGAGGGAUUUGCACGAACGGCUCUCAAGCAACACGACAGCCUCUCAAACACACCGUUUACGCGCGUUAGCCUUAGAGCGCGCGUGGUGCGGGGGGGAAGCGGCAGCUGCUUUGGCGGCGGCUGCGGCGGGCGCUUUGCCCCCCGCCCCCCUUCCCCAGGCCGUGGAGAGGGCGGCUGCGGCUGCUCAUCAUUUGCUGCAUCAGUAUCUUCAGCGUUGCGGCGAAGUGUUCGCGGCAAUGGGUGGAUCGGGUUGUGCGAGCGAGCUCGUGUCACUACAGGCUGUAAGAGAUGCGAUCGCUCCGUCUUCUAAUACCCUACAGGAUUUGCUCAAUGAGGCAGUGGAGAACCUAGCCUUAGCUGCGUGCGAGAGCGUGGAAAGUGCCGACAGCGAACACGCGCACGCUGACCCCGACAUACCGGACUUACUCACGCCUAUUUCGCAUUCUGGGAAACUGGAUUAUUUGAACUUGGCCACACCCCUCGGAUGUCGUCGGCGAGAGCGCGGUGGUCGGCGCGUGCGUCCCAAGUCCGUGGCGGAACAACAGUGCAGUAGCAAUGAGAUGCUAUCUCUGCCACCCUUGCACGCUGAAGCAGCCGAUGCACUCGCCGAUCUACCUGCGCAUACGCUGAGGCAUCUUGUAAAAGGUAUCGGACGACCAAGACGAGUUAAAACCAGAGCACCAACACGACCAAUAACAGACCAAUCACAAGAUAUUGAUGAAGGACUAGAGGAAUUCUGGCGUACAUGCCGUACGCCGCCCGGUAGUGAGGACGUAUCAUCGAUGUCUGCCCGUACGGCGCUGACGUCACGCUCUCUACACUCGUUGUCUUCGCUUGCCUCUGCCUCGCCCGCCUCGCUUGCCUCGCCUUCCGCCCACAGGCACUCGCCUACGCUCCGGGAUGAUACUAUGUACAGUGGAACGUCUGGUGAAAGCACACCUGUAUUACUAGAAUGCGAGGUAUCACGCUGUAAAUCAUCAGAUAACGUCGGAAUUAAGCCGAGUGCGUCCACGCCGCCGCCGUCGAGAUCCUCUGAUGACGUCAACGCUAUGGGCAACGGGUGCGCCCGCGCAACUGGCAAAGCGCGGCCUUGGUCCGUGGCAGGCGUCAACGCGGACAACGCCGCCUGCACCACAGAGGGCGUGGAGGCGUGCGUCGGCGGGAGCAUCGUGGGCAUCACGCCGGGCGCCGCACUAACCAGUAACCAACUUUCUGACGCUAUCCUAUACUGAGCUAUCGCUAGCUAGCAACACUAGGUUCAAUGCUGCGAGAUCAUCCACUCACACCGGAAGGCGAUGCCUGAGAUUAAGCUUAUAAUGCGCAGGAUUGUUCAAGCAGGGUUCGGUACGCAAAGUAUUGAUGCUCACUGAUGUGCCACAUAUUAUAGACAUAGUCGCGUAGUCACACUAGUGCAGGAUAGAUCUCUCACAGUAGAUAGUAAUGUUUUAUAUCUGGCAAUUAUUACGUAAUUAAUGUUCGUAUGUCUUUAAAUAGAUAACUGCGCGCUUACUCUGUAACUUACAAUGCCGACAGCAAUCUCGAUUUCCA
Pieris napi is the source of this 3727-nucleotide RNA transcript. It is a transcript of the gene named F-actin-uncapping protein LRRC16A-like, with no coding region annotated. The transcript has 29 exons. The record is from RefSeq and is a predicted model, not a curated record. Lineage: Eukaryota; Metazoa; Arthropoda; Insecta; Lepidoptera; Pieridae.